Molecule: ribosomal RNA, 687 nt
Filed under: Streptomyces sp.
Lineage: Bacteria; Bacillati; Actinomycetota; Actinomycetes; Kitasatosporales; Streptomycetaceae
Description: bacterial SSU rRNA
Rfam family: Bacterial small subunit ribosomal RNA
Source: RNAcentral
AUGAACCUCCUUCGGGAGGGGAUUAGUGGCGAACGGGUGAGUAACACGUGGGCAAUCUGCCCUGCACUCUGGGACAAGCCCUGGAAACGGGGUCUAAUACCGGAUACUGAUCAUCUUGGGCAUCCUUGGUGAUCGAAAGCUCCGGCGGUGCAGGAUGAGCCCGCGGCCUAUCAGCUUGUUGGUGAGGUAACGGCUCACCAAGGCGACGACGGGUAGCCGGCCUGAGAGGGCGACCGGCCACACUGGGACUGAGACACGGCCCAGACUCCUACGGGAGGCAGCAGUGGGGAAUAUUGCACAAUGGGCGCAAGCCUGAUGCAGCGACGCCGCGUGAGGGAUGACGGCCUUCGGGUUGUAAACCUCUUUCAGCAGGGAAGAAGCGCAAGUGACGGUACCUGCAGAAGAAGCGCCGGCUAACUACGUGCCAGCAGCCGCGGUAAUACGUAGGGCGCGAGCGUUGUCCGGAAUUAUUGGGCGUAAAGAGCUCGUAGGCGGCUUGUCGCGUCGGUUGUGAAAGCCCGGGGCUUAACCCCGGGUCUGCAGUCGAUACGGGCAGGCUAGAGUUCGGUAGGGGAGAUCGGAAUUCCUGGUGUAGCGGUGAAAUGCGCAGAUAUCAGGAGGAACACCGGUGGCGAAGGCGGAUCUCUGGGCCGAUACUGACGCUGAGGAGCGAAAGCGUGGGGAGCG